UGAGGGAAAGUUGCAAAGAACUUUGAAGAGAGAGUUCAAGAGUACGUGAAACUGCUCAGAGGCAAACGAGUGGGCCCUCGAAAUCCUCUUGCGGAGAGAUUCAGUCGGGAGCCGCGGCAGGCGGAAGCGAGUAACGGACCCUCGAGAAGGACGGAUCUCGCUCCGCGGUCUCCGCGGUGCCCGACGCAUUUCUCCCCGCACUCUGGACGCCGCAAUGGAUCGGGUAGCUGCGAGAGUCGGCCUUGGGGCCGUCCCAGGCAGGUGGCCGGGUUAUCGCUCCGGCGGUUCUCGGUUAUUCACGGGGCGGUUCGUGGCGCGACACCCGAUCGACGUCGAAGUUUUCCCCUUCCGGGGAAACGAUCCGUCUCCGUCUCUCACCGAGGCGCGGCGGCCGGGACAGUGAGCGCCGAAGAUGCCGAUACCACUCCCCGCAGUGGCCGGCGCUGCGGUGGCCGUCGUUGGUUCCGGUCUGGCCGCUGCGAGACGACGCGGAUUGCGGCGAGUAGGUCGGUCACCCACUCGACCCGUCUUGAAACACGGACCAAGGAGUCUAACAUGUGCGCGAGUCGCAGGGUCUUGAACAGGCCCUCGGGCGCAAUGAAAGUGACGGUUCUCUCCGGAGACCGAGUUGGGACUCCCGGCCCGCGGGCCCGGGAAGCACCAACGACCCGUCCCUUCCGAUCCGUCGGUGGGGCGGAGUCAGAGCGUACACGUUGGGACCCGAAAGAUGGUGAGCUAUGCCUGGGCAGAACGAAGCCAGAGGAAACUCUGGUGGAGGUUCGCAGCGGUUCUGACGUGCAAUCGAUCGUCAGACCCGGG
Molecule: ribosomal RNA, 819 nt
Filed under: Carapoia carvalhoi
Lineage: Eukaryota; Metazoa; Arthropoda; Arachnida; Araneae; Pholcidae
Description: partial 28S ribosomal RNA
Rfam family: Eukaryotic large subunit ribosomal RNA
Source: RNAcentral